UUACCUACUUUGAGAUGUGAUACAAACGUUUUAAAAAAAAAAAAGUGAUACAAGCGCUUUCCUAUUCACAAACCUACAAGCCUGCUUAGCGUGGGAGUAGAUCUUUUGUGAGCUACAGCAGCUCACUUUAAAUGUGUCUUUGCGACGGGUGAGAAGAGUAGCAGCCAAGAGCGAGCGUGCGUGCCCUGCAAGUGGACCGCCGAGAGCCGAGCGGCGAGCGACCGAGACCAUUUUCCAAGCCCUUCGCUUUACCUGGCUACGUACCAGAGGUUGGUGAAAACGAGCGACACCCAAGUAAACGACGGCC
This 307-nucleotide long non-coding RNA is filed under the name Brachypodium distachyon (stiff brome). Its description in RNAcentral is "long non-coding RNA (BDIS_LNC003560)". The record is from RNAcentral. Lineage: Eukaryota; Viridiplantae; Streptophyta; Magnoliopsida; Poales; Poaceae.